RNAcentral lists this ribosomal RNA (490 nucleotides) under uncultured bacterium. RNAcentral describes it as "partial 16S ribosomal RNA". It matches the Rfam family "Bacterial small subunit ribosomal RNA", at positions 30 to 507 of the family's 1533-position model. The record is from RNAcentral.
AUUGAACGCUGGCGGCAGGCCUAACACAUGCAAGUCGAACGGCAACAGGAAGCAGCUUGCUGCUUCGCUGACGAGUGGCGGACGGGUGAGUAAUGUCUGGGAAGCUGCCUGAUGGAGGGGGAUAACUACUGGAAACGGUAGCUAAUACCGCAUAAUGUCGCAAGACCAAAGAGGGGGACCUUCUGGCCUCUUGCCAUCGGGUGUGCCCAGAUGGGAUUCGCUUGUUGGUGGGGUAACGGCUCACCAAGGCGACGAUCCCUAGCUGGUCUGAGAGGAUGACCAGCCACACUGGGACUGAGACACGGUCCAGACUCCUACGGGAGGCAGCAGUGGGGAAUAUUGCACAAAGGGCGCAAGCCUGAUGCAGCCAUGCCGCGUGUAUGAAGAAGGCCUUCGGGUUGUAAAGUACUUUCAGCGGGGAGGAAGGGAGUAAAGUUAAUACCUUGGCUCAUUGACGUUACCCGCAGAAGAAGCACCGGCUAACUCCGUG